This 253-nucleotide ribosomal RNA is filed under the name uncultured bacterium. Its description in RNAcentral is "partial 16S ribosomal RNA". It matches the Rfam family "Bacterial small subunit ribosomal RNA", at positions 524 to 776 of the family's 1533-position model. The record is from RNAcentral.
UGCGUAGGGGGCAAGCGUUGUCCGGAAUCAUUGGGCGUAAAGAGCGUGUAGGCGGUCCGAUAAGUCCGCUCUGAAAGCCCGGGGCUCAACCCCGGGAGGCGGGCGGAUACUGUCGGGCUAGAGUCCGGAAGAGGCAAGUGGAAUUCCUGGUGUAGCGGUGAAAUGCGCAGAUAUCAGGAAGAACACCCGUGGCGAAGGCGGCUCUCUGGGACGGUACUGACGCUGAGACGCGAAAGCGUGGGGAGCGAACAGG